RNAcentral lists this ribosomal RNA (301 nucleotides) under uncultured bacterium. RNAcentral's name for it is "partial 16S ribosomal RNA". It matches the Rfam family "Bacterial small subunit ribosomal RNA", at positions 509 to 807 of the family's 1533-position model. The record is from RNAcentral.
CAGCCGCCACGGGAAUACGUAGGUGGCAAGCGUUAUCCGGAAUUAUUGGGCGUAAAGCGCGCGUAGGCGGUUUCUUAAGUCUGAUGUGAAAGCCCACGGCUCAACCGUGGAGGGUCAUUGGAAACUGGGAAACUUGAGUGCAGAAGAGGAAAGUGGAAUUCCAUGUGUAGCGGUGAAAUGCGCAGAGAUAUGGAGGAACACCAGUGGCGAAGGCGACUUUCUGGUCUGUAACUGACGCUGAUGUGCGAAAGCGUGGGGAUCAAACAGGAUUAGAUACCCCUGUAGUCCCUGUCUCUUAUAC